This 497-nucleotide ribosomal RNA is filed under the name uncultured bacterium. Its description in RNAcentral is "partial 16S ribosomal RNA". It matches the Rfam family "Bacterial small subunit ribosomal RNA", at positions 28 to 507 of the family's 1533-position model. The record is from RNAcentral.
GAUGAACGCUGGCGGCGUGCCUAAUACAUGCAAGUCGAGCGAACAGACGAGGAGCUUGCUCCUCUGACGUUAGCGGCGGACGGGUGAGUAACACGUGGAUAACCUACCUAUAAGACUGGGAUAACUUCGGGAAACCGGAGCUAAUACCGGAUAAUAUAUUGAACCGCAUGGUUCAAUAGUGAAAGACGGUUUUGCUGUCACUUAUAGAUGGAUCCGCGCCGCAUUAGCUAGUUGGUAAGGUAACGGCUUACCAAGGCAACGAUGCGUAGCCGACCUGAGAGGGUGCUCGGCCACAGGGGACGGGAGAGGGGGCCAAGACCCCUGGGGGGGGCAGCAGUGGGGAAUCUCCCGGAAAGGGGAAAGGCCGAAGGGAGCACCGCGGGGGGAGGGAGGAGGUUCUUGGGAUCAAAAACCUUUGUAAUGGGGAAGAAACAAAUGUAAAAGUAACUAGGCAGGUCUUGACGGUACCUAAAAAAAAAGCCACGGCUAACUCCGGG